This 460-nucleotide ribosomal RNA is filed under the name uncultured bacterium. Its description in RNAcentral is "partial 16S ribosomal RNA". It matches the Rfam family "Bacterial small subunit ribosomal RNA", at positions 338 to 795 of the family's 1533-position model. The record is from RNAcentral.
CCUACGGGAGGCAGCAGUGAGGAAUAUUGGUCAAUGGGCGAGAGCCUGAACCAGCCAAGUCACGUGAGGGAAGACGGUCCUAUGGAUUGUAAACCUCUUUAGGCGGGGAGCAAUGCCGGGCACGCGUGCCCGGAGGGAGAGUACCCGCAGAAUAAGCAUCGGCUAACUCCGUGCCAGCAGCCGCGGUAAUACGGAGGAUGCGAGCGUUAUCCGGAUUUAUUGGGUUUAAAGGGUGCGUAGGCGGAUUUUUAAGUCAGCGGUAAAAUUUCCGGGCUCAACCCGGGCCGGCCGUUGAAACUGGCGGGCUGGAGUUGGAGAGAAGUACGCGGAAUGCGCGGUGUAGCGGUGAAAUGCUUAGAUAUCGCGCAGAACCCCGAUUGCGAAGGCAGCGUACCGGCUCCACACUGACGCUGAGGCACGAAAGCGUGGGUAUCGAACAGGAUUAGAUACCCGGGUAGUC